CCUACGGGAGGCAGCAGUGGGGAAUAUUGGACAAUGGGCGAAAGCCUGAUCCAGCAAUGCCGCGUGAGUGAAGAAGGCCUUCGGGUUGUAAAGCUCUUUUACCCGGGAAGAUAAUGACUGUACCGGGAGAAUAAGCCCCGGCUAACUCCGUGCCAGCAGCCGCGGUAAUACGGAGGGGGCUAGCGUUGUUCGGAAUUACUGGGCGUAAAGCGUACGUAGGCGGCUUUGUAAGUCAGAGGUGAAAGCCCACGACUCAAUCGUGGAACUGCCUUUGAGACUGCUUCGCUUGAAGAUGGGAGAGGUUAGUGGAAUUCCGAGUGUAGAGGUGAAAUUCGUAGAUAUUCGGAAGAACACCAGUGGCGAAGGCGGCUAACUGGACCAUUCUUGACGCUGAGGUACGAAAGCGUGGGGAGCAAACAGGAUUAGAUACCCUGGUAGUCCACGCCGUAAACGAUGAUAACUAGCUGUCGGGGCUCUUGGAGCUUCGGUGGCGCAGCUACGCAUAAGUUAUCCGUCCGUGGGUAGGUACGGCCGCGAAGUAAACGUACAAUAGAGUAGACGCGNGAGAAGUGCCGAGACGACGACGAGGGAGGAGG
This 596-nucleotide ribosomal RNA is filed under the name uncultured bacterium. RNAcentral describes it as "bacterial SSU rRNA". The stretch from base 1 to 516 matches the Rfam family "Bacterial small subunit ribosomal RNA", at positions 338 to 873 of the family's 1533-position model. The record is from RNAcentral.